UUAAACUCUCCCUUCUAUCUUCAAAAAUAAAUAAAUAAAUAAAUACAUUUUAUAUUCUCUUCUUAAAAAAACAACCUUUAACAAAUACAAAAACCCUCUCGUAACGUACCAGAGAUCUCCAAAAACCGACAGACAAUCCUUGUUAAAGACUAAGGUAUAUUUCUCCAAAAACCGACGGACAAUCCUUGUUAAAGACUAAGGUAUAUUUCAAAACCAUUUCCUUUUAUCAUAUUAAAGAAUAACAACAACAACAACACUUAUAUUAAUAGUGAAAGCAAUGAUAAUAGUUGUAUGAUGCUUUCCAGCUAAAUUCUAAUGCUUCUCAGUUAAAUUCUAACGCUUUCCAGUUAAAUUCUGAUGAGUGUUAAAGUCUGAUGCUUCUCAGUUAAAUCCUCACGAGUCCAGUCAAAUUUUGAUGCAUCUCAGGUUAAAUUUUUACGAGUCUAGUUAAAUCCUCGGUUAUUUUUUAUGGGUCCACUUAAAUUCUGAUCAGUUAAAUUAUAAUGGGUCUAGUUAAACUCUGAUGCUUCUCAGUGAAAAUACUUUGCUUCUUGCCCCCGUGCGACUUAGAUACAUCCCUUGCAGCCGGCACAAAGUCAAGGGAGCCAGGUCUUUUGUCAAAGGAGCUAAGGGGAUGUUUGUCUUUUUUGUGAAAAGCUCUUCUUGAUCUCUUAUGUCUGCCCCACGCAGACCACGCGCAGACGUUUGAGUCUGCAGUGUGUUUGUUUUUUCUGUCUGCUCGUCCUCUUUUUGGAGCAGAUGUCUCAAGUCUUCUAACCUCUUGUCCUCCUCUUCUAAACAGACCAUAGAUCCUCCACACAAACCGUAGCACCUUCUUCUUCUUCACCCCUUCCUCCUCCCAACUCCCCCACCUCCCCCACCUCCACAGCCACCGCCGACAACCCCCUACCUCCACCGCCGCCGACAACCCCUACCUCCACCGUUGCCGACAUCCCCUACCUCGACUGUCGCAAAAUUAGUUAAGUAUGCGUAUCCGGCGUAAGCCUAGCUUGAACGAUCUUACCCAUAUACAAACCUUGCAUCCUCCUUUGUUUCACAAGCUUUCACCAUCGAAAUCCUGAUCUUUUCAGCUGCACCCACAAACUAAUUCUUGAUCAAGAUCGUUAGCAAUGAUGCAAAAGACUCAACACUGGUUUAAAAUUGGGUCUUUGUGACAAAAGAUUGAAAAAAGAGAGAGUUGUGUGUGGGUUCAAAUUAGGGUUCUUGGUGAAAAAAGAAGUGAUUUUUGAUGGAGAGAUUGAUGGAAUUAUGGAUCUGAGAGAUCGGUUUUUCUGCGAAUUGGGUGAAGAUAUUAGAUGUGAAAUCUUCUUCUUGUUCUUCAAUUGGUGAUGAUAAAUAUUAUGAUGGGGAACAGGGAAGUAGAGAUAUGAGAAUAAAGAUUUGAACUUGAUGGUGGAUUCAUGUGUGGAGUGUUUGAGGAUGAAUGUUGAUCGUAUCAUCAUCCAUGUAGUGGUUAUGUUUGAGUUAUUUAUCAGUUUAUUUGUAUUUCAAUUUAUUUCAGCAACUUGCAGAAGUUAAAAAACAAACAGUCUUCUUCUUGCAUACUGCAGAGGUUUGGUCCAACUCUUCAGCUACAGAUGUCUGUAGAUGUGGUCCAAGACUGUAGACGUUUUACCUCUGAAAAAACAAACAACACUUAAGUGUCAGAAAUAGGUCUUAUCCUGGUCUUGACCUCACGUACGACUUUGGACACACCCUUGUAGUCAACACAAGGUCGUAAAAGUCAUCAUUUUGGCUUACUUUAGGUAUGGUCUCGCACGCGACCUGAGGCUAUCUAAUGUGGCCGGCGCAGGGUUUGGGACCAUACCCCUUCAGCGUUGGACUCAUUCCAUAAAUCAUUUGUUCGGCACAAGUUCAUACGAUGCCUUGAGCGGGGUCAAGACUCAAGAGUGAAGUUUAAAACUUUAGGAUUAAUCUGAAGAUCCUUGUUAAUUUGUGUUUCCUAAUCAUGAUGUAUUAGGCCUUCGGGCUUGGGUUUUACUUAUGUCUUGUAUUUAGACGUUAGUUAAUUAAUGAAAUUAUGUCGUUUGU
RNAcentral lists this long non-coding RNA (2052 nucleotides) under Helianthus annuus (common sunflower). Its description in RNAcentral is "hypothetical non coding rna". Lineage: Eukaryota; Viridiplantae; Streptophyta; Magnoliopsida; Asterales; Asteraceae. The record is from RNAcentral.